This 220-nucleotide long non-coding RNA is filed under the name Setaria viridis. RNAcentral's name for it is "long non-coding RNA (SVIR_LNC000177)". The record is from RNAcentral. Lineage: Eukaryota; Viridiplantae; Streptophyta; Magnoliopsida; Poales; Poaceae.
UCGAGGCACAUUUUCCUUAAUGUUUUGGCGAAGAUAACGUUGAGGCCGCUCCCGCCGUCGAUGAGUACUUUGGUUAACUUCGAACCUGCCACGACUGGAUCCAGCCACGACUGGAUCCAGGACUAGUGGAAAACGGCCUGGUUCUAAAAAUUUUGUCCAUGGAUCUUUUCUGCUGAAAGAAAUUGGAACUUCCGACCACUUUAGCGGUGUGGGGUCCGUC